Molecule: ribosomal RNA, 541 nt
Filed under: Kudoa igami
Lineage: Eukaryota; Metazoa; Cnidaria; Myxozoa; Multivalvulida; Kudoidae
Description: partial small subunit ribosomal RNA
Source: RNAcentral
CUCUUGCUGGAUUGUGUUGGGCUAUAUAAGCCCACACAACUUAGGCUUCAUUUAUGAAGCGCCAGUAAGAGUGUUCUGUUCUACUGCUGUGCCAGCUAACGCGGCAAUACAGAGUGAACUUCCUUACUUUAGGAGGAGAAUUAAGGCACCAUUUCCCAGGUUCUUGUGAGGAAAUCGAGUAGUUUACGGUGUACUGGGAACAAGAGAACAAGCCUCUUGUGAAGAAUAAACGUCCUAGCCUUUGGGUAAGCCAACCUGGUUCCUUGGUUUACCGAUAGACCGCUACACCUUACUUUCUCUUUUUGAAGUCCUUGCAUGGCCCAUUUUUCCUCAAGUUUUUUGAGGAAAUUUGGUGUCAUGGGGUUAAGGAAGACUAAACCAUGGGAUGCAAGAUUGGGUGAAAUCCCAAUCUUGUAGCACUAGGAAGUAAUCUUGGUCAUAGUGGGCCAAGGUGAAGUGUAGAACCAAAGGAUUUCUUGCUCGUCACCUGGGGUGGUCUAAAGGCCAUCCUGGCAAGUCGAAACACGGUAGGAGUUGGGGA